Molecule: ribosomal RNA, 468 nt
Filed under: uncultured bacterium
Lineage: Bacteria
Description: partial 16S ribosomal RNA
Rfam family: Bacterial small subunit ribosomal RNA
Source: RNAcentral
GACGAACGCUGGCGGCGUGCUUAACACAUGCAAGUCGAACGGAAAGGCCCUGCUUUUGUGGGGUGCUCGAGUGGCGAACGGGUGAGUAACACGUGAGUAACCUGCCCUUGACUUUGGGAUAACUUCAGGAAACUGGGGCUAAUACCGGAUAGGAGCUCCUGCUGCAGGGUGGGGGUUGGAAAGUUUCGGCGGUUGGGGAUGGACUCGCGGCUUAUCAGCUUGUUGGUGGGGUAGUGGCUUACCAAGGCUGUGACGGGUAGCCGGCCUGGGAGGGUGACCGGCCACAUUAGGACUGAGAUACGGCCCAGACUCCUACGGGAGGCAGCAGGGGGGAAUAUUGCCCAAUGGGCGGAAGCCUGAUGCAGCAACGCCGCGUGCGGGAUGACGGCCUUCGGGUUGUAAACCGCUUUCGCCUGUGACGAAGCGUGAGUGACGGUAAUGGGUAAAGAAGCACCGGCUAACUACGUG